UGGAUGCCCUGGCAGUCAGAGGCGAUGAAGGACGUGCUAAUCUGCGAAAAGCGUCGGUAAGGUGAUAUGAACCGUUAUAACCGGCGAUGUCCGAAUGGGGAAACCCAGUGCAAUUCGUUGCACUAUCGUUAACUGAAUACAUAGGUUAACGAGGCGAACCGGGGGAACUGAAACAUCUAAGUACCCCGAGGAAAAGAAAUCAACCGAGAUUCCCCCAGUAGCGGCGAGCGAACGGGGAGCAGCCCAGAGUCUGAAUCAGCUUGUGUGUUAGUGGAACGGUCUGGAAAGUCCGACGGUACAGGGUGAUAGUCCCGUACACCAAAAUGCACAGGCUGUGAACUCGAAGAGUAGGGCGGGACACGUGGUAUCCUGUCUGAAUAUGGGGGGACCAUCCUCCAAGGCUAAAUACUCCUGACUGACCGAUAGUGAACCAGUACCGUGAGGGAAAGGCGAAAAGAACCCCGGCGAGGGGAGUGAAAAAGAACCUGAAACCGUGUACGUACAAGCAGUGGGAGCACCUUCGGGUGUGACUGCGUACCUUUUGUAUAAUGGGUCAGCGACUUAUAUUCUGUAGCAAGGUUAACCGUAUAGGGGAGCCGCAGGGAAACCGAGUCUUAACUGGGCGUUAAGUUGCAGGGUAUAGACCCGAAACCCGGUGAUCUAGCCAUGGGCAGGUUGAAGGUUGGGUAACACUAACUGGAGGACCGAACCGACUAAUGUUGAAAAAUUAGCGGAUGACUUGUGGCUGGGGGUGAAAGGCCAAUCAAACCGGGAGAUAGCUGGUUCUCCCCGAAAGCUAUUUAGGUAGCGCCUCGUGAACUCAUCUUCGGGGGUAGAGCACUGUUUCGGCUAGGGGGUCAUCCCGACUUACCAACCCGAUGCAAACUACGAAUACCGAAGAAUGUUAUCACGGGAGACACACGGCGGGUGCUAACGUCCGUCGUGAAGAGGGAAACAACCCAGACCGCCAGCUAAGGUCCCAAAGUCAUGGUUAAGUGGGAAACGAUGUGGGAAGGCACAGACAGCCAGGAUGUUGGCUUAGAAGCAGCCAUCAUUUAAAGAAAGCGUAAUAGCUCACUGGUCGAGUCGGCCUGCGCGGAAGAUGUAACGGGGCUAAACCAUGCACCGAAGCUGCGGCAGCGACACUAUGUGUUGUUGGGUAGGGGAGCG
RNAcentral lists this ribosomal RNA (1170 nucleotides) under Klebsiella pneumoniae. Its description in RNAcentral is "partial 23S ribosomal RNA". It matches the Rfam family "Bacterial large subunit ribosomal RNA", at positions 25 to 1238 of the family's 2925-position model. The record is from RNAcentral. Lineage: Bacteria; Pseudomonadati; Pseudomonadota; Gammaproteobacteria; Enterobacterales; Enterobacteriaceae.